Molecule: ribosomal RNA, 253 nt
Filed under: uncultured bacterium
Lineage: Bacteria
Description: partial 16S ribosomal RNA
Rfam family: Bacterial small subunit ribosomal RNA
Source: RNAcentral
UACAGAGGUCUCAAGCGUUGUUCGGAUUCAUUGGGCGUAAAGGGUGUGUAGGUGGCGCCGUAAGUCGGGUGUGAAAUUUCGGAGCUUAACUCCGAAACUGCAUUCGAUACUGCGGUGCUUGAGGACUGGAGAGGAGACUGGAAUUCAUGGUGUAGCAGUGAAAUGCGUAGAGAUCAUGAGGAACACCGGUGGCGAAGGCGGCAUCCUGGACCGGCAUUGACGCUGAGGCGCGAAAGCCAGGGGAGCAAACGGG